UCUUUACAGCAGUGCAAGAAUGGACUAAAAGAGACCAAAUGUGGUCUUCUUUCCCACAAAAUCAAAUAUAAGCACAGUGUCAAUUUUCCUAAUCACCAACACUGUGUGAUGAGGGAUGCUCAGAGAAUAGUAGAGCAUUAAAUCCACCCCAGGUGAGAGAAUUGAAACUAAGAGAUGAUGCCCUGAUUUACCCACUGAGUUCAUGGGUCUAGAAGGCUAACUGUGUCCUUUUGAAAAUACUGAUGCUGGAGUUGAUUCCAAUUGCAAACGCAGGAAAGCCACAAUGCCUGAUUGCCAGUAGUCUUUAUUCUUCACUCCAUUAAUGAAAUCUGUAUUUCUAGAAUGUCAGAAGAGUUGAACCCUCCUUAUAUUUGCCAAAUAAAUUUUAAUACAUUAAAAUAAUUAUAUAGACUAGCAUAUUGUUUUUAUGCUAAUCUCUUCUUUCUUCAUAUUCACAAGUUACAUUCAUUCUCAAGCAUAUGAAAAUCUGAAUCAUUGGUGCGUUUAUUUCAAAAUGAAACUUUCUUAUGCGCUCAGGGUAUGUGUACAAAUCAGAUCAGAUCUCACAUUUUGUUUUGAAACCAGCUCUAUCCUUAUGCUCUGCCAGCAUUAGCAGUGAGUGGUUGCAUAGGCUUUCAAUGAUGUGAAAGCAGCGUGGUGAGAUUGAAGUCGUAGUGGUGACAAGAUCAAUUAGAAAGGCACCAUUGCAUCUUUGUUCUAGACACAAUAUAUCUUCCAAAGUAAUCCCAUACUGCAAAGGCAUCACGAAGUCUUUGUCCACUUAUUCAGAAAGGCAACAUGGCUCAGUGGUUUGAAAUAACAGGCUUGAAGAUCAAGGACUGUGAGUUCGAAUGUUAUAUUUAAAAAGGAGAGCAAAAAGUGUUGCUUGGGCUUUUUAGAUACCUUUAAAACGCUUCUUUAAUAUUGGGUUCCAUUUAUUCUUUCCUUUUUUGUUAUUGCUCAGGUGGCAUUUAUCAUUGGGUCAUGGAUACAAAAGUAAAAGUCAGGGCUGUCCCAAUGACUAAAAGACACCAUACGAGUAUACAGAGAUGGAAUUUGCAGAAGCAUUGGCCUCCUUCUUGUUUGAUUAGCACCUGGAAGAUUUUUAAAAUAGUUGAAAAGGAUGGCAAUUUCCAAACAGUCAGAUGCACCUGUUCUACUGAGAAAUAUUUGCAAGACGGAGGAAGACAAAAAGACCUAGAGGAUACUGAAGCUUUUCCCCCACCUAAACGAUGUCCACAGAUAUAACUUUUUGGGUGCUCACAAUUUUAUAAUCCAGUUAAGUAUGCUCUAAUCACAUUUGGAAUGGGUGAAAGGUAUGGUUUCCUUUUGAAGAGAAGAAAGGUUAUGGUGAACUCAGUUGAACACAGAUUGCGAACAUUUCCAGGCAGUUUUACGAAAGGAUAUUGGUUUAUUAACUAAUGAGGUCAUUCUGCCACUUGCCAAGUCUGUCUCUCCUAAUGGCAUAUGCAAAAAUGGGAAAUGAAAUCCAGAUACAUGUGUGGACCCACUGGAUACACCAGGCAACAGAGUCAGGCCAGAAAUCUAUUUAUUACCCAGCUCUGCUACGUCCCCACUGUGACUGCUGGAUUUCAAGGCAACUUGACUCCCUCAAGAUUUGUGUCGGCUCAGAAUCAGGAUUCCGUCAUCACAAAUAGCCUACCUCCUUUUCUGAAAGGCACAGUUUCUCUACCUGAUGACUCCAGCUCCCUUUGAGAAAGGAAAGAAGGAGGAUUAAGAGUACACAUUCAUGACAGCAUAGCAGGGUAUUUCCCCAAGAGAACCCACUAUCAUUCCAUCCUGCAGAGGGUGUCUCCAAGGUGAUGAUGCUUCCCUCACCAAAAUACUCCUUCAUGCUUCUUUGAAAAGAAUGUCCUCUGAGCUCUCCUAGGACACACAAUGAGGAGAUGGGUGAGUCACUCACACAUUAUAAAUCUACUCCAACAUUCCUGUUCCCCUAAGCCUUCAGAUUUAUCCUUCUACAUUAUAACAAGUAAAAGCUGACAUCUCAGCUUCCUUUGAUGUAGACUAAUAUGGAGUCCAGCUUUCGUGAGCAAAUUAUGCAACAUUUCCCAUUUGCUCAAGCUAACAUAUGGAAUUCAGAAUCUCUCAUGAGUACACCCAUAUUGAUACAUUUGGCCAUUCCAAAGUUAUUUUCCUUCCACAAUGGACAAAUAUACUUAUAUUCCAUUUCUGCUCAUAUAUCUUAAUUUCUGCUGGUAUAAGCUAACUACAUUUUGCAAUUAUUUCAGAGUAUAAACUGACCCCUCUCAUGUCAGACUUAGUACUCAUUUCCCUUGAUUAGGUUGGACCAGAUGGUACUAUGGGUCUGGAGAAUGGGUGGAUCUUUUGCAAAUAAGCAUCGCUUGUAAUGUAAGGUUAUUACAGUAUACUCAAGCUAGGAGAAGCUAGCUUCCUCAGAGAGGGAUUGAGGAGAAGUAUUUGCUAGUGAGGAAGUCUUAAAGAAAUUUAUGGGGAGGUUCAGAUACUCAGAUUCAUCUGAAUCCACCCAAAUUUUUUCAUUCCAAUUCUCAGGGAAUCAUUCAUUUUCUAUUAAUGACCUAACACUCGCAUAAGAAAUUGACAAGGAUGAGAAAUCAAAUUGAUUCAUAAAAUAAACAUAUUAUUUUAUGGUAAUCACAGAAUUCCCUUUCUUAUCUGCUCAUAACUGUACUGGAGGUAUGUAUUUGUAUUCUACCACUUCUCUAAUGUAAUCAGAAUAGGUAACAUGCUCCAUAGUGCCAAUAGCAAUAUUCCCACCAUGAGUCUUUUGAAGAAGCUACUUGGUUUCCUGGUUUCCCAAAGUUUUCUAUUUGACAGCCACAUAAUUCCAGGGACCAUUUGGGGCUUAAGACUUACCAAAAAAAAGUUCUCAUUGUGGAUACUAUGGUAGGUAUUAGUGAAUAAUGAAAGUAUUUUAAGUAAAUGCCGGUAUUCAAUUCAUCAUCUCUACCCAGAAGUGACAUAUCUCAGUGUGUUGAGUUUUGUAGGCAAUUUAUCUUUUGACUUAGAUACUCUGCUUACAAUCAGAAUUUUACCACCAGGAAGUGAGGCUUUGGCUUUGAAGAGGCACAAUGUAAAGUGUUUGACUAAGUGUGAAUAUCAGAGAAAGCCCAAAUUUCUUGUACACUGAUUAUAAUGCAUUAAUUAAAAUGUACUGUCAUUUAAAAAGCAAAGUCACAGUUGCAAGGCAGAAAAUGGGAGGUUAAGCAAAUACAAUUUGUGUCUUUAUUACCAUCCUCUA
Molecule: long non-coding RNA, 3244 nt
Filed under: Macaca mulatta (Rhesus monkey)
Lineage: Eukaryota; Metazoa; Chordata; Mammalia; Primates; Cercopithecidae
Description: lncRNA (ENSMMUG00000051470.1)
Source: RNAcentral